GCAGCUCCGCGUUCCCCUUGUACGCGUUGAUCGACGUCGUGUUGAUUAUCGCGCUUCCUUCCUUCAUGUACUUCAGCGCGUGCCUGCAAAGAAACAGCCCACGAGGUGUUCGACGAAAUGUCACUUGAAAUAUGCCCACAACUUAUUCGAUGAAAUGGCACUGAGAGCAGGGGAAACUUUAUGUUUUAUGUGUAUGUUACCGGGUCAUGAAGAAGUAGGAGAAGAUGUUGGUGCGGAAGACACGUUCGAGCCUCGGCUCAUCGAUUUCCUCGACGGUGGUACACUCAUACUGCUCGGCAGCGUUGUUUAUAAGGAUGUCAAUCCUGCCGAAGGCGUUGGCGACCUCUUCGACGGCUCUACGGCA
This 364-nucleotide long non-coding RNA is filed under the name Linum usitatissimum (flax). RNAcentral's name for it is "long non-coding RNA (LUSI_LNC006050)". The record is from RNAcentral. Lineage: Eukaryota; Viridiplantae; Streptophyta; Magnoliopsida; Malpighiales; Linaceae.